Molecule: non-coding RNA, 1938 nt
Organism: Drosophila melanogaster (fruit fly)
Lineage: Eukaryota; Metazoa; Arthropoda; Insecta; Diptera; Drosophilidae
Source: Ensembl
CAAAUGACAGCUUUCACUUUUUCAAAUAUAUCACAUUGCAAACAUAACCAAUAAAUCACAGGAUGUCCAUAAGUCAAGCCAUCCCGCAUUCAUUCCCCUUCGACUUCCAAUCAAUUGACACCGAACAACACUCGAUAUCCCUCGACCUUCAGACCGAUAUCUGAAAAUAGAUAGGAAUCGCAGUUGGCCAAUUACUGUCCAACCCCCACCUCUCACGCAAUCCUGCACCACCUGAACCAGCACCACCAACAUCAUCAUCACCAUCAUCAUCGCCGCACCACCCGAAUUGCCGGCUGACGUUUGACAUCACUUGAGUGUGCGACCACCUGACAAAUACCUCGAAUAUCAUUCACACCGGGACUCGUGAAUCGUGAAUCGGGAUUCGGAAUCUUACACUCAUCAUAUCGCCGGCCACUGAUUGGCAUUGACAGACGUCGACGCAGACGCGUCGCCGGGCAACUGCAAUUUUGUAUCUUGAUAAAUUACUUAUGACUGGCCCAGACAUUGAUGAGUACUCGGUGUACUCACUGCUCGGUACUCAGUACUCACUUGUCGGUUUUCCGGUGGAUAAUGGAAGGUGGAAGGGGGUUGGGAGGGGAGGCCUCGGGCACGCAGCACAAAUCACCAAGUGCGCACCUGAAAACAUUUAACGAUAAACAAACAUGGUGCGAAAGUGAUGGCCUAUUGCAUACCCUUCAAAGGAAAUUUAUGAAAAUAAUACAAAUAUGCAUAUUCGUGGUUUUAAAAACUUAGCCUUAUGCAGCAAUCGCUAUUGAAAUAAUAAUAUAAAAAACCCAUUCAUAAAAAUCAAUUGUCAGUAUUUUUAUUAAAACAUUUGAACCUUUUUUUUUUACUUCAAAAGCCUUAAAAUCUUUCAUUGAAAAAUAAAAACAGAAAGAACGAAUGCAAUGGUAGUGAGUCAAAAGGAAUUGGACUGUGGGUGUUGACAAAAAAAAGGGUGCACCAGAGGGUAUACGCAAAUGAAUUAGUAAUAAUAUUUGCUUGUUUGCCUUUGUACUGCUUAUUCCCGCCCCUCCCCGCCAACCCAACAGCAUGCACAUUUCGCGUUCGUUAUUUUUUUUUUUUGCAAAACUUUUUCUCUUUUUUUGCCAUACUUAUACUUAUAACGAUUUCGUAGCUGUUUCAGUGUUUUGGCAGCCAACAAAGGCGACAUCGAAUUGGGUUCUAGGCGGGCAGGGGUGGUGGAAAUGUGGGGAAAUCGAUGAGACGACAACUUGUGAUGGAGGUUUUCUUCUAAAUGGAGGUAUGGAUACGAUGGAGGCGUCGCCGACGGCGUCGGUGGGACAGUUAAUGGCGACAACGACGGCGCACGUCUGGGUCUGGAAGCCCCGACUUUGGCGACAGCCAACCGAUCCGCUGUUGGUAAUGGUGACUCUGGUUCUGGUACGGUGUCGUCGACCAGACGAAAUCCCGCCAGCAGGCAAUAUCUCGCAGGAAAAUAGUGCCACACACCACUCAACCAGGCAGACAGACUCCUUCUUCGGAAUGACGGAAUGGAGAACCGAAAAAAAAUGAAAUAAACCUGAAAGAGCGAAAAUCAAACCACCCAUAUCAACUGGGUAAAUCAAAGCAAUUUCAAAACUAAGCAGGCAGACAAUAACAAAUCACGUUCAUCGCAAAAAGGAUGUGAUGGAUGGAGCAUUUGUUCAAAUGCUAUUAGGACUCAAUGAAAAGGAUAUGAAAUAAGGAACUUCUUAACAGCAAGUAAAUUGGAAAGCCCAGUUGUGAGCUUAAAAUAACAUAUUGAACUUAACACGACAUUAUUUUUACCAUUUUGUGUUACAAUACAAAUUUAGUAAAAUAUCUCAUCAAAUUUUAAUCAUUUUUAGGACAGAAAAGUUGGAAAUGUUAUUUCUUGUUUGAGACGAAGUCCAAUAAAGUUAUAUAUUAUUUGUCAUAUGCUUAUGUACACAGAAU